Non-coding RNA from Pelobates cultripes (western spadefoot toad), 260 nucleotides. The record is from the annotation of a GenBank genome assembly. Lineage: Eukaryota; Metazoa; Chordata; Amphibia; Anura; Pelobatidae.
UUACCAAUUUUUUGCCACCAUGCACAAGUCUAAUAGACAGGACAGGUCCUGAUCCUAUGUUCUAAAGAUAUUUGAUAGAAGUUGUGGAAGCUCUCUAUCUGGAUAGGUUUUCUCUACAUUUUGAUUAUGAAAGAACAAUGCUUGGUGGACAGGGAGCCAAGAUGAUUGCACAAGAUCCAGGAUAGCAAUAUAUCCUAACGUGCCGGUGAUCACCAUGGCGCACUCGAUUUCUAUCUUGAUAAGAAAAUGGAAUGAGAAAG